AAAAUCUGAAGACAUCAACUUGCAGAAUCCAACAGAUAUGUCCUAUGUUUUCAGUGGGGCCUACACACCUAUUUCAUGUAAACUUGUAGAGCAGGUUUUGACUAAGGAAGGUUUUACAGGUAUGGAGGAGAUCCUGAAACAUUUACCUGGAGGCACCUUCGCUGAUGUCAAAGUCAAACAGACCAAAGGUAAAGGAGGUACCACUAGUGCUACUUCUCCAUCACAACGCGUUGUCCUCGUCUACUUCCUCGGAGGAUGUACCUACUCCGAGAUCACUGCUCUCCGCUUCCUGGGGCGACUUAAAGGGUACCGAUUCCUGGUCGCUACCACAGCCUUGAUUAAUGGCAGUACAUGGCUGAACUCCCUGGUGGAGAAGUGAACAACACACCAUUUGAUUUAAAUGCAAACCAGUCAUGACAGUGACUGAUGGGUAACGUUAACGCAAACAAUUCAUUGGUAGUAGGAGGUCACGAAAGGUCACUUGUCCCAUGAACCUUGCACAAGUUGUGACUGCAACCAAUGAAUGUCAAAUUUGAAACUUGGACAAUCGAUCAAUUGCAGUAUAAACAUUGUUUGCCGUGUUAACGGUAUAUCAUACCCAAGGGAGUUUAGUCUGGCGUGUCUGAUCACACAAGUGUCGUGCUUGAAAUCAGUCAUGUUAAUGAUUGUUGAUGGUAUAAAUAGUUCAAAGGGAUGCAAUGCAGUAAUUAAGCAAAGAUAAAACGCAAAAAUGACCAAAAAUUGUUACAAUGGUGAUGAGGUUGUAUACCUUUGUGUAUUUACGACAUUUAGUCACAUAAAACGGGAGCAAACCAUGUAUUCAGAUCGAAGAUAAUAAUGAAAUUUUACGGACAGGCUAAAUUAGGCAGACUUAGUUACGACUGAAAAUGUUCUGACAUUCCUUAAGCUUUCAGUCCUACAGAUUAGAGCAGAGAAAGUUGUGGAUGGGGGUCCAUUGUGAUUGGUCAAUCAUCAAUUUAAGCAAGAAUUGGUUCAGACUGCUUGAAAUGAGAUUGAUGACUCCAUAUAAAGUUAUAUAGAUCAAAACCUGUUAAGCCUUAUGUUUGCAAGUUAACGAAUUCUUAUGUUUGGGGUAAUUUUGAAAAUAGACUGAAACAAUUUUUUAAUUGUUCAAAAGGGACAUUUGUAUACACUAAAACACUUUGUUUAUUUUACAUAUAUAUAAAAGUCGUUUUGAAAGUUGAGCUGUUGACACACCAAGUAAUUACUCAGAUUGAACCUUGGAGGCCUCGUUACAGUAACCCUCUGUUAUCUGGUUAUGUUUUAACCUGCUGUUUGAAUGCGGUGAUUACUCAAUAUGGGUCAUGCUUGUCCAACAUUGACAUAAUACUUCCACAUCCGGUUACGACAGGAGGCAGGCCAGAAAGGGACAGUCCUUUACUUAUAACGUGCACAUUCCUUACUGGUGUGCUCGUGGGGCUAAAAUUGAUCGAAGGGCCAGAAAUAUGAUGCAAAAUCCAGUCAGUGUGACUGAUGGGUCCACACUUGUAUGUAAAUACAGACAGAUUGUUGGACAAACAAAAGAUAUAUUAUCAUGUUCUAAAGUGAGAGAGUACACCAACUCAUGGAUGCUUUCUAUCAUUCGUGUUUGAAAUUAUUCGAUAAACUCUGCUCAGAAGCGCCACAUAUUCUGAACCAAACGUUGAAAUCGUGGAUUACUUGGUUGACUUGUUUUCGUAAGGUUAAGGGUUUUUUAUGUUAAAAAAAUUAUGAACAAAUUAGAUGUGGGAUUUUUGGUUUAUUUGUGUUAGACUAGUGUAUAAGAGUUAUUUAAAAUCGUAUCCAAAGGUACUCUUUGUGGCAAACUUUAAAAAGAAGCAAUACCAAACUAACUUUCCGAAAAAUAUAUGGCUGAACAGCAGUCGCAAGCAUGCUCACCGGAGCCAAGCAUGCUCACCGGAGCUGCUGAAAUUUGACGAACAGUGCUACAAUUAAAGGACUUCUACUUUACCACAAUGCCUGAACCUUUUUUGUACACAGUAAACGUAUGUAUGUGGUGUUGUCGAAUUUUAAAUGCAACAUUUUUUUACUGAUUUCCCUGAAAAUAUAUUAAGUAUUACCUAUUUAUUGGUAUUAAAACCUAACAUAUCAAAAUGUUCCACGGCUUUUCACAAACUUCUCAGCAAUGUCACGAGGACAACUAAUCACUAUUGUUAAGUGGUCUACAUGUACAGGAUAUGAACACUUCGUCGUGCAUUGAUCCUCAGUUACAGCGUUCCAAAUAAUUGUGAUAUUUUUGUUAUCAUUAACAUUUUAUUGUUUUGUGUUUCAAAUACAUUGUUGUUUUGUCACCCAUUGUUAUAUGACGAUUGUUACCAGUAUGGCUUAGAUUUCUGAGGAAGUUACAUUGUUGCUAUACUCGCUACCUGAAAGUUAUUCUUUGUCAUUCUGAUCGAGACCAUUUAAGGCGUUUAAGUAAAUUUUGAACUCCACGAAAUAACACUAAAAUUUGACCCUGCAAAAUGAAAUCGCUCUGUAUACUAAGCGUUGUCGUAAGGACACAACACAGCUGUCAUCACCACUUGUAUUGGCAUCGUAUUUAUAACAGUGACUGACCUUCAGUAGAUGUUAGUAUAUUUGUUCACAGAAACAUAUUUGGGCAUAUUCGAUUCUUGGAAAACGUAAAAACAUAAAUAAAUAAAUGAUCGUAAUAAUCUUUAAAAAAAUUUUUUUUUUUUUUUAUUUAUUUUACACAUUUUCCUAAUUUAGAUAUGUACUGUAUCUCUGAUAAUGAGAAGCAUGUGAGGUCACACUUAUUGGAUUACUAGUAUAUAUACUACAUGUUGUAUACUAUUUCCGAGUUUUAUGGGUGUCUGAAGUUCCUCACGAUACACGCUGAGUUUGUGUUCAUCAUUUAUUGUUGUUGAUAUGGUACUGCUACGUUGUAUGUAGUUGUUUUCCUGUUUCGUCGAUGUCAAACUAAUAGAACCCAGGGUUCGUUUUUGUGUUUUGAAGAACAGGUUUGCGUAAUAAUUGAUGAUUUUCAGUAAUAUUCGCUGGUUUAUAUUGUAGAUAAUACCACAUCCUGGCUCCUCCUAAUCGUCGUAUAGUGGUUAUCGUGUUAUGUUUCCAUGCAGAAACAUAUCUUAAUCCUGUUCUUUUCGUUUGCAAUAUUUUAUACAUUUUUUUUUUAAAUUAUUAAACAACACACGCGAAGCAUUUGCAGUGAACUUGUUUUGUUUAUUUCCGAUGUCUUACGUGAGACAGGUCUAACCGAGGCUGAUCAGUAUGUGAUAGUCACCAGAGAUAUGGAUUUGAUGAACAAUUGUAUACUUAAAAUAAUAAAGAUUUGUUUCAUU
This 3320-nucleotide unclassified non-coding RNA is filed under the name Mizuhopecten yessoensis (Yesso scallop). Its description in RNAcentral is "vacuolar protein sorting-associated protein 33B-like, transcript variant X1". Lineage: Eukaryota; Metazoa; Mollusca; Bivalvia; Pectinida; Pectinidae. The record is from RNAcentral.